AUGUAUCAGUUAUCUCUGCUCGCUGCUGUGGUGUCCUGUGUUUACUGCAGUGUUUACCACGAUCAGCCCAGCUCACUGACGGUGAGGCCUGGAGAGGCUUUAACAGUCUCCUGUAAGAUUUCAGGAUAUUCUCUCAGUGAUGGCACUAAGGCUCCUUCAUGGAUUCGACACGCUGAAGGAAAAGCUCUGGAGUUCAUUGGAAUGAUCCAUGCGAGUGGAAGCACAAACUACAAGGAAUCAUUAAAGAACAAGUUCAGCAUCUCCAGAGACACGUCCAGCAGCACAGUGUUUCUAAAAGGACAGAAUCUGCAGCCUGAAGACACAGCUGUGUAUUACUGUGUACGCUAUACUGGCACACGGUGA
Molecule: non-coding RNA, 363 nt
Organism: Astyanax mexicanus (Mexican tetra)
Lineage: Eukaryota; Metazoa; Chordata; Actinopteri; Characiformes; Acestrorhamphidae
Source: the annotation of a RefSeq genome assembly